Long non-coding RNA from Lytechinus variegatus (green sea urchin), 1263 nucleotides. RefSeq lists it as uncharacterized. The record is from RefSeq and is a predicted model, not a curated record. Lineage: Eukaryota; Metazoa; Echinodermata; Echinoidea; Temnopleuroida; Toxopneustidae. The transcript is spliced from 6 exons.
GGUCAUUCCCAGCGACCGAAAUGAUCUUUCUGUUAGAAAGUGGCAAUGGUCUCGUCGAAAGAAUUCUUCCAACUAUCUCAAGCAAAAAAAGUAUUUUAGACGAUGCUCUGUUUGACACCGAGGGUAUUGUAACCUUGCACUUAAAUAGUGUGCAUCAUGGGAAGUACAUCAAAUGCUUCGCAUCGCUUGAAGAAUCUAUAGUGGAAUUGGUGUAUGCCAAAGUGAUCAUUUACGGCCCACCAGAAGGCAUCAAAAUGAGUCCCCUUGGGGAUCUUUACGAUGGCAAAGAAAUCAAUGUAACCUGUAAAGCUGUAAAUCGAUACCCGGCACCGUAUAUCCAUUGGUACAUCGGAUCAAGAAAUCUUACAGAGGAAUCAUCUUUAAACAUAAAUGAAAAUACAGCUGGUCGAUAUGAUGCUGAAAGCACACUGACUCUAAUACCGACGAGGUUUGACCAUGGGAAGCGUCUUCUCUGUGAGGCAGUUCAACCUUCAACACUCCCAGCUCGAUCGGUGAAUCAAAGCUUGGUUCUGAACAUAACGUAUUUUAUCCCGAAUGCAACUUCUGGGUUCAUCAUCCACCAAAACCAGACGAAAACUUCAUCUCUUUUCGUUGAAUGGCAACCAGGAUUUAUCAUCAGGAAAUAAGACAUAAACAUCUUUCCGAAAGCAAGGACAAUCAGUAAAAAUGUAGAAUUCCAUAGUAGAACUGACUGUCGGUUGAAACAGGAUCUCGUAGCAUUGCCGUAAAUUGUCGCUUAAUUAUGAUGUCCAUUUCUGCACAAGUAGUUCUCGUACUUCUCCUUGGUGUUAUCAUCUCACAAAGCGCUCCACCCACUUGGAUCUACAUCAUUGAUGGAAAGGGGGAUCGUUAUUACUUUAACAACCUCUCUGUAACGGUAAUAGCUGGCCAACGAAAUGACAUCACCUGCGAAGCAUAUGGAGCAAUGCCCCCUGCAGUAUUGGAAUGGCAUGUACCAGAUAUAGUUAUAGAUUUUCAGGAUCAGUCUGAUGUUAUUCAAGACGGAUAUUACAUCUCGCGUAAAGCUGUGAAAAUCACACCCUCCAGGGAUGACCACGAAAAGAUUCUUAGCUGCAUCGCGUCACACCCAGAACUACAAAAUGAACGACUACGCUCAGUUCAUCUCAAUGUUUAUGUUCUCCCAAGGGAUGUGCUGCUCUUUCGAAUUGGAGGAAACCAGAACCAUUCAACCGUCCUGAACGUUCAAGAAGAUUCACCGACUUCAAUCACUUGUAAAAGUAU